AAUAGCCCACUUGUUACUAUCUAUACCCAGAGCAUCUACUCCUGGCCGCGCCCACGUGGCUAAGAAUAGCCCCCUGGCUGAACCUGAUGGAACACAAGUUUCCAGGCUGCUGUGACUGUGUAGCGGAACAUCCAAGCAAGAGUACAUGGUUGCCGAGAUUGGAGGCCAGCACAGAGGACAGACGUCAGCCACCUCUGCCUUCCUCCCUUUAUCCUGUGAUGUCUUUCCCUCCUGGCUGCCACCAUAGCCUCAGGUAGGUCUUGUUAACCUUCGCAGUGUCUAGGCUGCCUCUGCAGCAGCUUGCUACACCCCACCCCACCCCAUCACUCCCAGGGGCUGUUCUAGAUCCUUAGCUGUCCUCAAAGCAUCUCCAUGGUCCCUGGGCAAACCUCAGCCAUUGGGCUCUCAUGCCCCUUGUUAACACCUAAGUAAGGACCACUGUCACCAGAUCUUCCCCACAGACAUCCCCAUGUCUUGCUGCCCUAUGAGCUAUACUCAAAGGGGACAUACCACGGCCUCAUGGGUAUAGGAAACCAUGCCAAUAUGUCCUUUCCCCUUAAGUAGCACAGCUUGAGCUGCCAGUCUCAUUGCCCACCUCAGGGCCAACACCAGUGCUCUUCUUCCCGCACUCAACCUUGCUUUUAUUGUAUCCUGCCAGACGACUGACUAUGCUGGGUGACAAAAAUGCCUUCCCUAGGGGAGACAUAAACAAUGUCUACCCCCUCUCACUAAGGGUUUCUUGGAUAAACUAAGGAACAGUUCCAUCAAAGUUCACACGGAGGAAUUAACAAGUUUAUUUGGCUUACUGAUAGAGCAAUGGGUAAUGGGUUAUAGGCAGGAACAUGGGUGAAGUCAAAGCAGCCGCACUGGUGGGUCUGCACCCAGCACAGAUGAUGCCCCACCCCACCCCACCUCCAGUCCCUGUCCCCUGCUGUGGCUAUGUAGCUGGACACCUCCCACCCUAGUCUUCCCCACACAAAUACUCCAGCUCCUCUCCAAGAUGUGACGCUACAUGCACUUUUGGCAGAAUUGCAUACAGCUGUUUGGAAGGAGUGGCUGGCUGCUCAGGUAAGGCUGCCUAACUCCUGAAGAUGUGGAAGUUUGGCGCAUACCUGUUUAAAGGCCAUGUUGGGCUGUGGUCACAGAGGCCAAACAAAGGAGGGCCUUUAGAGGUCGCCCAGUGCAGUGGCCUGAUUUGUCAGGGCCAAGUGACAGGGGCCAAAAUCCAGGCAAAGAACAAGCCAGGGGGAGCGGGAAGGAAGGAACAAUGACUCCUGAGGGCUGGUGCCCAGGAACCCGCACAGGUCAGAGGAGGGCUUGGUGACGACCCUCCCGGCCUGAGGAAGGAAGGGAUUUGCUUCUUGUGGCAGGGCAAGGAAAUUCCAGCCUGGGGUGGGCCCGACCAUUUCUCCUUCCCCUCUGCUCAAUGCAACUUUCCUUCCUCCCCUAGUUCUGCCCAGGCCCCAAACCUCCCCUCGGACCUUUGCUACCUUAGCCCCCCUAAACACAGCUGCCAGCCUACAGUCACCCACAUGAUUGGCUGCGCAUGCCAGCCAGCCCUGCACUGAGCUGUUUCUUGUUUUUUUUGUUUUUGUUUUUGACAAGGAACCAGAACCCUUGGAUGAAAUCUACCUCUCUACCAGUCUCUAUGGUUACCCAGGCCGGCCAGGUGCUCUGGAACAACUCUGACCUCUGAAGACUUCUCUAGGGAACUGAGUUCAAAGGGACAAGCGACAGGGGCACAGAAAUCCACAAACAGCAUCCUCCCUUUUGAGGUUGCUUUUAGAGGUUUUCUGUCCCCAGUGCCUGGGCUGGGAACCACAGCUGCACGUUGGUCCCCUCUGCUGGCCUGUUCAGACCAAGCUCUGAGGUGCAAGCAGAUGGUCACUCAGCCCUGGUGGACUCUCCUCCCUUCAUGUCUCAUGCAUGUGUGUAUCCCUGACCUAACAGUGAACUUCACAAACAUGACAGACAUUUAC
RNAcentral lists this long non-coding RNA (1979 nucleotides) under Mus musculus (house mouse). RNAcentral describes it as "predicted gene, 20735". Lineage: Eukaryota; Metazoa; Chordata; Mammalia; Rodentia; Muridae. The record is from RNAcentral.